RNAcentral lists this ribosomal RNA (396 nucleotides) under uncultured bacterium. Its description in RNAcentral is "bacterial SSU rRNA". It matches the Rfam family "Bacterial small subunit ribosomal RNA", at positions 28 to 424 of the family's 1533-position model. The record is from RNAcentral.
GACGAACGUUGGCGGCGUGCUUAAUACAUGCAAGUCAACUGAAGCAGAGGUAGUAAUAUCUCUGUGGAGGUGGCGCACGGGUGAGUAACACGUAGGUAAUCUGCCUUCAGGUCUGACAUAACCCCGAGAAAUCGGGGCUAAUAGCAGAUGAUGCAGCGGCUUGACAUCAAGACAGUUGUUAAAGCUUCGGCGCCUGAAGAUGAGCCUGCGCUGAUUAGCUAGUUGGCGGAGUAACAGCCCACCAAGGCUACGAUCAGUAGCUGGUCUGAGAGGAUGAUCAGCCACACUGGAACUGAGACACGGUCCAGACUCCUACGGGAGCAGCAGUAAGAAUAUUGGACAAUGGGCGCAAGCCUGAUCCAGCGAUGCCGCGUGUGUGAAGAAGGCCUGCGGGUU